UGGGGAAUAUUGGACAAUGGGCGAAAGCCUGAUCCAGCCAUGCCGCGUGUGUGAAGAAGGUCUUCGGAUUGUAAAGCACUUUAAGUUGGGAGGAAGGGCAGUAAGCGAAUACCUUGCUGUUUUGACGUUACCGACAGAAUAAGCACCGGCUAACUCUGUGCCAGCAGCCGCGGUAAUACAGAGGGUGCAAGCGUUAAUCGGAAUUACUGGGCGUAAAGCGCGCGUAGGUGGUUCGUUAAGUUGAAUGUGAAAGCCCCGGGCUCAACCUGGGAACUGCAUCCAAAACUGGCGAGCUAGAGUAGGGCGGAGAGUGGUGGAAUUUCCUGUGUAGCGGUGAAAUGCGUAGAUAUAGGAAGGAACACCAGUGGCGAAGGCGACCACCUGGGCUAAUACUGACACUGAGGUGCGAAAGCGUGGGGAGCAAACAGG
This 429-nucleotide ribosomal RNA is filed under the name Pseudomonadota bacterium. Its description in RNAcentral is "Proteobacteria bacterium partial 16S ribosomal RNA". It matches the Rfam family "Bacterial small subunit ribosomal RNA", at positions 355 to 776 of the family's 1533-position model. Lineage: Bacteria; Pseudomonadati; Pseudomonadota. The record is from RNAcentral.